RNAcentral lists this ribosomal RNA (500 nucleotides) under uncultured bacterium. RNAcentral's name for it is "partial 16S ribosomal RNA". It matches the Rfam family "Bacterial small subunit ribosomal RNA", at positions 30 to 523 of the family's 1533-position model. The record is from RNAcentral.
AUUGAACGCUGGCGGAAUGCUUUACACAUGCAAGUCGAACGGCAGCACGGGGGCAACCCUGGUGGCGAGUGGCGAACGGGUGAGUAAUACAUCGGAACGUGCCCAGUCGUGGGGGAUAACGUAGCGAAAGUUACGCUAAUACCGCAUACGAUCUACGGAUGAAAGCGGGGGACCGUAAGGCCUCGCGCGAUUGGAGCGGCCGAUGUCAGAUUAGGUAGUUGGUGAGGUAAAGGCUCACCAAGCCGACGAUCCGUAGCUGGUCUGAGAGGACGCCCAGCCACACUGGGACUGAGACACGGCCCAGACUCCUACGGGAGGAAGCAGUGGGGAAUUUUGGACAAUGGGCGCAAGCCUGAUCCAGCCAUUCCGCGUGCAGGACGAAGGCCUUCGGGUUGUAAACUGCUUUUGUACGGAACGAAAAGGCUCUGGUUAAUACCUGGGGCUCAUGACGGUACCGUAAGAAUAAGCACCGGCUAACUACGUGCCAGCCGCCGCCGUAA